RNAcentral lists this ribosomal RNA (502 nucleotides) under uncultured bacterium. RNAcentral's name for it is "partial 16S ribosomal RNA". It matches the Rfam family "Bacterial small subunit ribosomal RNA", at positions 28 to 507 of the family's 1533-position model. The record is from RNAcentral.
GAUUAACGCUGGCGGCGUGCCUAACACAUGCAAGUCGAGCGGCAGCGAGUUUUACACUGAAUUCUGGAAGCUUCUAGUUGAAAGAGAAGAUUUAUUCAAGAAUUUUGUGUAAAAUGUCGGCGAGCGGCGGACGGCUGAGUAACGCGUGGGAACGUACCCCAAAGUGAGGGAUAACGCAUCGAAAGGUGUGCUAAUACUGCAUAUGGUCUUCGGAUUAAAGCCUUCGGGCGCUUUGGGAACGGCCUGCGUAAGAUUAGAUAGUUGGUGGGGUAAUGGCCUACCAAGUCGACGAUCUUUAACUGGUUUGAGAGGAUGAUCAGUCAGACUGGAACUGAGACACGGUCCAGACUCCUACGGGAGGCAGCAGUGAGGAAUCUUCCACAAUGGGCGAAAGCCUGAUGGAGCAACGCCGCGUGCAGGAUGAAGGCCUUCGGGUUGUAAACUGCUUUUAUAAGUGAGGAUUAUGACAGUAACUUAUGAAUAAGGAUCGGCUAACUACGUG